Molecule: ribosomal RNA, 258 nt
Filed under: uncultured bacterium
Lineage: Bacteria
Description: partial small subunit ribosomal RNA
Rfam family: Bacterial small subunit ribosomal RNA
Source: RNAcentral
AGAACGAACGCUGGCGGCGUGCUUAACACAUGCAAGUCGAGCGAGGCUCCUCCUUCGGGAGGAUGUCCUAGCGGCGAACGGGUGAGUAACACGUGGGCAACCUGCCCCUAGCUCUGGGAUAACCCCGGGAAACCGGGCUAAUACCGGAUAUGACUUCGGAAGGCAUCUUCUGAAGUGGAAAAGGUUUACUGGCUAGGGAUGGGCCCGCGGCCUAUCAGCUUGUUGGUGGGUGAAGGCCUACCAAGGCGACGACGGGUA